RNAcentral lists this small RNA (336 nucleotides) under uncultured Gigaspora. Its description in RNAcentral is "SSU rRNA". It matches the Rfam family "Eukaryotic small subunit ribosomal RNA", at positions 569 to 912 of the family's 1831-position model. Lineage: Eukaryota; Fungi; Glomeromycota; Glomeromycetes; Diversisporales; Gigasporaceae. The record is from RNAcentral.
AGCAGCCGCGGUAAUUCCAGCUCCAAUAGCGUAUAUUAAAGUUGUUGCAGUUAAAAAGCUCGUAGUUGAAUUUCGGGGUUCUACCGUUGGUCGGGCUAUAGUCUGUACUGGCGCGUGGAAUUUCUACCUUCUGGGGAACUAUCAUGUUAUUAAUUUAGCGUGGUAGGAAACCAGAACCUUUACCUUGAAAAAAUUAGAGUGUUCAAAGCAGGCUUACGUCUGAAUACAUUAGCAUGGAAUAAUAAAAUAGGACGGUGGUCCUGUUUUGUUGGUUUCUGAAUCACCGUAAUGAUUAAUAGGGAUAGUUGGGGGCAUUAGUAUUCAAUUGUCAGAGGU